RNAcentral lists this ribosomal RNA (407 nucleotides) under Trispinaria sp. RNAcentral describes it as "partial 16S ribosomal RNA". Lineage: Eukaryota; Metazoa; Arthropoda; Insecta; Hymenoptera; Braconidae. The record is from RNAcentral.
GUCUUAAAGAUUUUAAUUUUAAGUCUAAUCUGCCCAAUGAAAUUUUUGAAUGGCUGCAGUAUUUUAACUGUACAAAGGUAGCAUAAUAAUUUGUUUUUUAAAUGAAAACUAGAAUGAAUGAUUAAAUGAAAUAUAAACUGUUUCAAUUAAGUAAAUUUAAAUUUUUAUUUAAGUAAAAAAACUUAAAUAAUUUUUUAAGACGAUAAGACCCUAUAGAAUUUUAUUUAUUAAAAAAUAAUUUUUUUUUAAUAAAUUUUAUUGGGGUAAUAUAAAAAUUAAAUUAAUUUUUUAUUAAAAACACAUUUAUAAAUGAUAAUUAAAUCUUAAUUUUUAAAUUAAAAAAAUUAAUUACCUUAGGGAUAACAGCAUAAUUUUUUUUGAAAGAUCUUAUUAAUAAAAAAGAUUAU